GAUGGAUGUUGCUGGAUGGCCAAUGACUUGUAGGGAACGGGAAGACAGUCUAUAGUAGACAUUACAGGUCACUCUGCGGUCGUCUGAUUUUAAACGGAAUACCUUAUCGCUCCAGGAAGCUCAUAACAUGUGAUGAAGGGUUCGCAAAGACUAUGCCUAGAUAAUAAUCGCGUUUCAGUUCCAAAGUGCAAUUAGAUUUGAGCUUCCAUCAUCUGGACUUGUUUAAACAAGAUAUAGAACUGAGUUAUCCCUAUGAAUUGAGGCGCCAUCUAUGUCUUUUCCGCUUUGAGCUCUGAUUCAUACUGGAGUGGUGUGAAGAGAGUCAGUGGGCUGGCUUCAAGUCAAACGUCUGUGUCUUCUAACAUUAUUUGGAUAUCUUGUAUAAUGAUGUUACCAUCUAGGAACAUACAUGAAAAAUCUGUAAUAUGAGCGCUGAUGAAUAUAUCUAUUGAUUGAUUAUUAAAGCUGAUUAUUUUGAUAGUUCCAAAUGCUUCGACGGACUGGACAGAAUUAGAGUCCACCUUGGUUUCCAUAAAGAUGACCAGAGAAGGCUACUCCACUCCAUCUAAUUAAAGGCAUUCAGAUUAAAUUUGAAUGUCCGGCCGCUUGACUGGAUUGGCGGGAAAUCCGGUCAAGCGGCCGGACAUCGCUAAGGGUCAUCGCCGGCCACGGUACUAUCCUUUCUGGGGUAAGCAAGUCCCAUCUUCGGAAGGAGGCUGUCAACCCCACCAUUUCGGUACCCACCAGGGUAGCGAGAACCAACCAUCAUGCCUUAAGUUUCUCAUCCUCGUAUGAGGUCCUCCGGGGGGGGGAGUCACUUAAAGAUGUUGCGAACUGUUUUCCAUAAAUUUGCUACAAGCUGGUGGAACUUCAAAGAAAAUAAAAGCUUUCCCUGCUGAAAUUUAGUUUUUUUGUGUGAAGUCAUUGUUCUUAUAGGCAAAUCAGACUUUUUAUUUUUUAUUUUACAUCCAUUGUUGUUAAAGAACAUAA
This is a long non-coding RNA of Argiope bruennichi, 990 nucleotides long. RefSeq lists it as uncharacterized. The transcript is spliced from 6 exons. NCBI's taxonomy places the organism in Eukaryota, Metazoa, Arthropoda, Arachnida, Araneae, Araneidae. The record is from RefSeq and is a predicted model, not a curated record.